Molecule: microRNA precursor, 59 nt
Filed under: Anolis carolinensis (green anole)
Lineage: Eukaryota; Metazoa; Chordata; Lepidosauria; Squamata; Anolidae
Description: Aca-Mir-1329-v2_pre stem-loop
Source: RNAcentral
ACAGUGAUCAGGUUACGAUGGAUUUCUCUAGUAACAGCCUCGUAGCUUGAUCACCAUCU